This 884-nucleotide long non-coding RNA is filed under the name Malus domestica (apple). RNAcentral describes it as "long non-coding RNA (MDOM_LNC008632)". Lineage: Eukaryota; Viridiplantae; Streptophyta; Magnoliopsida; Rosales; Rosaceae. The record is from RNAcentral.
UUUAUAGCCUAAAUUCAUUAAGGGUUAUUUUUGGAGAAAAUUGGAGAGAACAUGUCUCUCAUUUUCUCUCUAGGAGGCCGGCCCCCUUGGAGGGAUUAGCUAGCAAUCCCACUCCUCCAAGGUCACUCAUUUCUUCUCCAAUCUAACCUUGGUGUGGAGACUUAGAGGUUCUCUAUUUUGAGAACUUGGAGAAACCUUUUCAUCCAUCCAAAUCCAUAGAUUUAAGAUGCAAGGAAUGAAGGCCCUCUCUUUGGGUGAUUAGCCUUUGCUUAUGCAAAGAGGAAUCUACAAAGGUAUAAAUUUCUCAACUCAUUUUGAUUUGUGUUGAGUCUUGGUUCACCAAUCUACUAGGCUUUGAAUUUCAUGGUUAAUGUUUUGUUUUUAAGUGCAUGCAAGCAUGAUUCCGCCUUUAAUUGUUAAUUGCAUGCUAAUAAAUGUUGCUUAAAUGAACAUGUUUUUCACAAAAUCAUCCUUCAGUGCGAACUCGAUACAAUCCUAUAAUAUACUCGGCCAUAAAUAGCAGUGUCGAUGAAGCAACCAUCGCAUCUUUCGUCUGGCCUGAUAAGCCCUGUAAAUUCCUUCAUGGACCUCUGUGAUUACUUGAGCAGCCUCAUGCGGGCCGAGGCAUAACAAUAACAGGCUGUCCUUACCGUUUCAGUACAAUUCAUUUUGGUACGUUACAUAGUUCGUGGUGUGAACCCUUAUCUUCUGGUCGUGUUUGCCAUUGGGAUUGUCAAAAUACUGUAUAAUUGACUUUCUCCAGUCAUCUGGCAUUGCCUCGACUGCAUAAACCUCUAUAGGGUCCUUUCGCUCCAACAAUGAAGGUAAAGACAUGACUCAUGUACAGAUUACGCAAUCUCAUUGAAGAACUUGUUGAUUAACCA